UGGGGAAUAUUGGACAAUGGGGGCAACCCUGAUCCAGCAAUGCCGCGUGUGUGAAGAAGGCCUGCGGGUUGUAAAGCACUUUCAAUUGUGAAGAAAAGCUGAAGGUUAAUACCCUUCAGUCUUGACGUUAGCUUUAGAAGAAGCACCGGCUAACUCCGUGCCAGCAGCCGCGGUAAUACGGAGGGUGCAAGCGUUAAUCGGAAUUACUGGGCGUAAAGCGCGCGUAGGCGGUUUUGUAAGUCGGAUGUGAAAGCCCUGGGCUCAACCUGGGAAUUGCAUUCGAUACUGCUUGACUAGAGUAUGGUAGAGGGAAGUGGAAUUCCAGGUGUAGCGGUGAAAUGCGUAGAUAUCUGGAGGAACAUCAGUGGCGAAGGCGACUUCCUGGACCAAUACUGACGCUGAGGUGCGAAAGCGUGGGGAGCAAACA
Molecule: ribosomal RNA, 427 nt
Filed under: uncultured bacterium
Lineage: Bacteria
Description: bacterial SSU rRNA
Rfam family: Bacterial small subunit ribosomal RNA
Source: RNAcentral